Molecule: long non-coding RNA, 217 nt
Filed under: Panax ginseng (ginseng)
Lineage: Eukaryota; Viridiplantae; Streptophyta; Magnoliopsida; Apiales; Araliaceae
Description: long non-coding RNA (PGIN_LNC012666)
Source: RNAcentral
CGCAUUUAAUGUCAGUAAUUAUGAGAAUUCAAGUGGGACGCGUUUGGAUGACCUUUGGAUAUCUUAUCAGAUUGGGCCUGACUGUUGGGUUUCUAUUUUAUUGGCCCAUCCUGUUCAAAUUCAAAUCUUUUAUCAGAUUGGGCUUAUUGCUCUGGGUAUCCACUAUCUAGCCAUCCCUUAUUCCACUUCGUAUGUUAAAAGUGGGUAUGAUUCACUU